This 452-nucleotide ribosomal RNA is filed under the name uncultured bacterium. RNAcentral describes it as "partial 16S ribosomal RNA". It matches the Rfam family "Bacterial small subunit ribosomal RNA", at positions 28 to 507 of the family's 1533-position model. The record is from RNAcentral.
GAUGAACGCUGGCGGCGUGCCUAACACAUGCAAGUCGAGCGAUUCUCUUCGGAGAAGAGCGGCGGACGGGUGAGUAACGCGUGGGUAACCUGCCCUGUACACACGGAUAACAUACCGAAAGGUAUGCUAAUACGAGAUAAUAUGCUUUUAUCGCAUGGUAGAAGUAUCAAAGCUUUUGCGGUACAGGAUGGACCCGCGUCUGAUUAGCUAGUUGGUAAGGUAACGGCUUACCAAGGCGACGAUCAGUAGCCGACCUGAGAGGGUGAUCGGCCACAUUGGAACUGAGACACGGUCCAAACUCCUACGGGAGGCAGCAGUGGGGAAUAUUGCACAAUGGGCGAAAGCCUGAUGCAGCAACACCGCGUGAGCGAUGAAGGCCUUCGGGUCGUAAAGUUCUGUCCUCAAGGAAGAUAAUGACGGUACUUGAGGAGGAAGCCCCGGCUAACUACGUG